GCGCCCGCAAGGGGAGCGGCAGACGGGUGAGUAACGCGUGGGAAUCUACCCAUCUCUACGGAACAACUCCGGGAAACUGGAGCUAAUACCGUAUACGUCCUUCGGGAGAAAGAUUUAUCGGAGAUGGAUGAGCCCGCGUUGGAUUAGCUAGUUGGUGGGGUAAUGGCCUACCAAGGCGACGAUCCAUAGCUGGUCUGAGACGAUGAUCAGCCACACUGGGACUGAGACACGGCCCAGACUCCUACGGGAGGCAGCAGUGGGGAAUAUUGGACAAUGGGCGAAAGCCUGAUCCAGGCAUGCCGCGUGAGUGAUGAAGGCCCUAGGGUUGUAAAGCACUUUCAACGGUGAAGAUAAUGACGG
Molecule: ribosomal RNA, 360 nt
Filed under: uncultured Mesorhizobium sp.
Lineage: Bacteria; Pseudomonadati; Pseudomonadota; Alphaproteobacteria; Hyphomicrobiales; Phyllobacteriaceae
Description: bacterial SSU rRNA
Rfam family: Bacterial small subunit ribosomal RNA
Source: RNAcentral